AUGGCCAAGUCCAAGAACCACACCACACACAACCAGUCCCACAAAUGGCACAGAAAUGUCAUCAAGUAAUCCUGGUCACAAGGAUACGAAUCUCUUAAGGGGGUUGACCCCAAGUUCCUGAGGAACAUGCUCUUUUCCAAGAAGCACAAGAAAGAUCUGAAGAAAAUGCAGGCCAACAAUACAAAGGCAGUGAGUGCAUGGGCAGAGGCCAUCAUGGCCCUCGUGAAGCCUCAGGCCAUCAAGCCCAAGAUGUCAAAGGGCCCCCAGCCACAAACUCAGCUGUCUGGCUUUCAUCAAUCACCCCAAGCUUGGAAAGCAAAUUUGAAGCUACAUGGCCAAUGGUUGUAGACUCUGCCAACCAAAGUCCAAGGUUCAGGCUGAGGCAGAGGCCAAAGCUUCAGUUAAGGCCCAGGCUUCAGCUCCAGCUCAGGCUCCCAAAGGUGCUCAGGCCCCUGUGAAGGCCCCA
RNAcentral lists this long non-coding RNA (466 nucleotides) under Mus musculus (house mouse). Its description in RNAcentral is "long non-coding RNA chrX:163272911-163273377". The record is from RNAcentral. Lineage: Eukaryota; Metazoa; Chordata; Mammalia; Rodentia; Muridae.